RNAcentral lists this ribosomal RNA (422 nucleotides) under uncultured bacterium. Its description in RNAcentral is "bacterial SSU rRNA". It matches the Rfam family "Bacterial small subunit ribosomal RNA", at positions 362 to 777 of the family's 1533-position model. The record is from RNAcentral.
UUUUCGUCAAUGGGGGAAACCCUGAACGAGCAAUGCCGCGUGAGUGAAGAAGGUCUUCGGAUCGUAAAGCUCUGUUGUAAGUGAAGAACGGCUCAUAGAGGAAAUGCUAUGGGAGUGACGGUAGCUUACCAGAAAGCCACGGUUAACUACGUGCCAGCAGCCGCGGUAAUACGUAGGUGGCAAGCGUUAUCCGGAAUCAUUGGGCGUAAAGGGUGCGUAGGUGGCGUACUAAGUCUGUAGUAAAAGGCAAUGGCUCAACCAUUGUAAGCUAUGGAAACUGGUAUGCUGGAGUGCAGAAGAGGGCGAUGGAAUUCCGCGUGUAGCGGUAAAAUGCGUAGAUAUAUGGAGGAACACCAGUGGCGAAGGCGGUCGCCUGGUCUGUAACUGACACUGAGGCACGAAAGCGUGGGGAGCAAAUAGGA